GGUCGCUUUGUUCAAGAUUUCGUUUUCUAAAACAACGUGAAAAUAAAGCCAAUCUCUCAUCAAUCUCUAUUAAACCUGUACCAACCUGCAGUAUAUGCUAUUUCAAACGUGGGGUUCGGUAUAUAUAACUAUGACUAUGUCGUAUUUUACACUUACUGACCUGCCGCGUGGUUUGUAUAUAUUUGUUUCUGAACUACCUGAAAAUAACUAUAGAAACUCUUCGACAUUUUUAGCUUUCUAACGAAGAUCUUCGUUUGUUUUAAUCUUUGUCAGGUCAGAACUAUCUGCCGAAUGGACCACCAUGUUUGUUUGAGACAUCUUUUCAGGUAGUUCAGAAACAAACCACAUCAGCUUAUUGUAGAAUACUACCUAUCCUGGAUCCACUCGUUUGACAUUUUUU
This is a non-coding RNA of Paramuricea clavata, 400 nucleotides long. NCBI's taxonomy places the organism in Eukaryota, Metazoa, Cnidaria, Anthozoa, Malacalcyonacea, Plexauridae. The record is from the annotation of a GenBank genome assembly.